GUAAGAGUUUUGAUCAGUUAGGUGGGAGGCGGGAAAAGCGCAGCUGCUUGAAUAGUACUUAUUCAGAAACAGAGAUAGAGAUUUGUUUACAUCGAAUCAGAGGCAACUUAGGAAAUUAAUGAAAUCAUUAACAAAAUAUUUAAUCUCGUUUAUAGUGACAUUUAUAUAUAUAAGAUCUUGUCAAACUUAAACAAAACUUUUGAGAACCUUCUGAAAAUUCUAAUAGAUCUUUGGUCUAACAAUGGACGAAAUUGUUCCUAAUAAAUAAAUAUAUGUAUAAAUAAUAUGCAUACAUAUUAUUCAAGACGCGUAAAUUAUUGAAAAUUUCAGAAGAACCAAUGGACCAAUCACUAAAAGACAUUUAUGAAUUUAAGCUAUUUUUCUCCUAUACAAUAAAACAGACUUAUUUUAUUUAAAUUUAUUUCUAGGGUAUUCCCAGUCGUGCAUACCCAACCAGAACACUACAGCAUUGAGUGGUAUAGGGGCAGGUAUUUAUGUGCUUGCAACGAUUAGAGCUGAUUAGUGGGCCUAAUUGUAAAAUUCGAGAUUCGGAUGCGAGCACAUAGUAAAGCGGAUAUAUGUAUGUAUUAGAACGUGCAUAAAUUAAAAAACAAAAUGCCAAUUCAUAUUUGUUGAAUGGGGCCAUAAAAACGGAAACUAGAAAUAGAACUGAAACUGCAACUGAAUCAGCAGAAUGCCAAACCAAAGAAAUGGAACAGCUGAAAGAGUUGCAUAAUAGAUUUGUUUAUACUAUGAAAUGUCAAACGCGACGAAUUUCUUUUUAUGCAGAAUAUAAACUGAGCCCAGGCAACAGCUUAUUAGCAUGUGAAUUGAAUGAAUUGAAUUGAGCCCAUUAAUGGGUCAACUAACUGACCAACAAAUAAACAAUCCAAAUAUGAAUCCCACCAGACAUACAGUGAAAGCUCUGCUGACGGACAUCACCCUAGACCCCGGAAUUUUAGCGUAUGCUAAGAAGGGGGCAGCAUUAUUAUGAUAAUUAUUUAAAUAAUAAAUGUAUAAAAAAUA
This is a long non-coding RNA of Drosophila mojavensis, 1026 nucleotides long. RefSeq lists it as uncharacterized. NCBI's taxonomy places the organism in Eukaryota, Metazoa, Arthropoda, Insecta, Diptera, Drosophilidae. The transcript is spliced from 2 exons. The record is from RefSeq and is a predicted model, not a curated record.